AUGUCCAGAUCGGCCACUGGGAGGCGAUUCAAAACCCGCCGGGCCAAGUUUUCGUCCUGGGUCCUCAAAGACGCGGAGGGCCGCCUCCCACGUCCGCCUCCCGGGGAAGCGCUCCUCCAGCAGGCAGAGCAGGUCGGCGGGGCCCGCGGCUCUCAGGUCUGCCCAGGGGAUCCUGCGGGCGCCCUCCGGCAGCAGCUCCGGGCACUGCAGGGCGAGUUUGAAGUCCUCCAGCUGCCAGGGAUCCAAGCCCCUCAGGUGGGACAGCAGCUGGUCACGGGCACCAUCAUGCCCAGAAAUGCCGGCAGGGGAAGCCAUCGGCCCGGGAGCGAGGUCUCCAGCCGCAAUAGGAACAGCUCCUGCGGAAACAGACAGCGGAGGCCAGGCACCGCGACUGUCACCCGCUUCGCGCAGCCGGAUCCAGCCACGCGCUGCUUUCUCCGCGCAGCACGCCUGCCUUGUUUUUCUGUGCCUACUGACCUCUCUCUUCCACAAGGAGGGCUUCCCAGGGGGCUCAGCCGUAAAGAAUCCGCCUCCCAGUGCAGGAGACCCGGGUUCCAUCCCUGGGUCGGGAAGAGCCGUGGAGGAGGAAACGAUAACUCACUCCAGCAUUUUUGCGGGAAAUCUCAUGGACAGAGGAGCCUGACGGGCUCACAGAGUCAGAAACGACUGAGCAACUAACACUUUUAUUUUUUUCUUCCUUUUUAAGACUAAGAUCCUAUUGUAUUACUAUGUAUCUCCCACAGAGUAAAUGCAAGUCAUGCAGGAGGAAUUAGUUUGGGGAUGUGCCCUACAGCAAAGGGCCCCCAGUCAUCUAUACUCUUCUGUACCCUGAAAAUUGUAAGAGGAUCAGCCUCAUGUUAAACGUUCCCGCCACACACACAGACCCUGCAAAGAAACUUCUGCAGGUUCUGGCUACGUCUCCCCUUGUCUGUGUCCACAUUCAUGAAGAUGCUUGUUAAAUGUUUGCAGUGUUAAGGGUUGGAUUUUUUUUUUUUUUUUUCGUAUUCAAUUAUACCUCAAUAUAGCUGGGUUUUUUUUCCCCCUUACCUUUAAAUCCAUCACAACAAAGCUGUUUAAAAAAAGAAAAGAAAUAAAAAGUCAGAGUAAGGAGACCUCACUCACCAAGCUGUCUUCUCAGCUCUUGCAAGUUUCUAGAACGCAGACUCCGGACCCGAAGCAGUCUGCCCCACCCCUCCCCAGCCUGUGAUUGGCCCCGGGGCCCCUCCAGCUCCUAUCAGGUCUGUCUACGGGUGUCCCGCCCCCUCCGUCGCAGCCGCGUCUCCGGAGGGUGGAGAAGCCACCUGCCAUAGGUGAUCCUGGAGUCCUUCUCUUCCAGGUGUAAGUUGUCCCGGCUAAGAGAGGGAUGCAGAGUUGGAGGUUCUAAUUAAAACCCAGCUGAUGUAAAUGAAAUCUCCCACAUCAGCAGGAGGCCAGUGGUGUGAAUACCUGUCCUAGAGUGGGGCCAUAAAGAAGGCUGAGCGCCGAAGAAUUGAUGCUUUUGAGCUGUGGUGUUGGAGAAGACUCUUGAGAGUCCCUUGGACUGCAAGGAGAUCCAACCAGUCCAUUCUAAAGGAAAUCACUCCUGAAUAUUCAUUGGAAGGACUGAUGCUGAAGCUGAAACUCCAAUACUUUGGCCACCUGAUGAGAAGAACUGACUCAUUGGAAAAGAGCCUGAUGCUGGGAAAGACUGAAGGCAGGAGGAGAAGGGGACGACAGAGGAUAAGAUGGUUGGAUGGCAUCACUGACUGGAUGGACAUGAGUUUGAGUAAACUCCGGGAGUUGGUGAUGGACAGGGAGGCCUGGCGUGCUGCAGUCCAUGGGGUCGCAAAGUCGGACACAACUUAGCAGCUGAAAAACAACAACCAUCUUCAGGGCAGGGUGGGGUGUGCAGAGAUCUUAAUAGGAUGAUGAAAGAGGAGACAAAUAAAGAGUAUGUGAGACUCCGACAUAGGGAACAGACUGGUGGUUGCCAAGGGAGAGGCUGGGGAGGACUGGGGCUUUGGAUUAGCAGAGGCGAAAGAUUAUAGAGGGAUAAGGUCGUACUGCAGAGCUCAGGGGACUGUAUUCAACUUCCCAGGAUAACCCAUCAUGGAAAAGACUAUUUAAAAGGAUGUAUGUGUCUGCGUGUAACUGAAUCACUUUGCUGUACAAGAGAAAUGAACUCAGCAUUGUAUAUCAACUAUGCUUCAAUAAAAUAAAAAAAAAAAGAGUCCAUGAGGUCUGAAAAUCACAACCACAUCUGGAACCAUUUCUUCUCCCAAUGCAAGGAAAACCACCCGUGAACCCAUUCUAUCAGAUACACGGAGGCUUUUCCAUUGAAGUCAGGAUCAAGGCAGCUUAGUCUUUAUACCACCACUAUUUACUAUUGUAUUACCAAUUAAAUUAGUGAUUUUAAUGAACAAUUUUAACUCAUUUAACUCACCCCUGGAGGGAAGUAGGCUUCUUGACUCCUUCCUGUCAUAAACAUCUCCCAAAGCAGAAGGAAAAUGCACUUGGUCUGCCCCACCAUCCACCUUUCCCCCUCUUUUUAAAAAAAUCUUUUAAAGUAUGCAGGUAGGAUAGCACAUUUACAGUAGACUUGAGAAACAGACUAGGAGAAGGCAAUGGCACCCCACUCCAGUACUCUUGCCUGGAAAAUCCCAUGGAUGGAGGAGCCUGGUAGGCUGCAGUCCAUGGGGUCGCUAAGAACGAAGUUACAUAUAAUUCCAUUAUCUAUUGCAAUUAUUUUUUAAGUAGAUAAAUUAAGACUUUUAAUUGGAGUUUCAAUAUUAAACUCUCAGAAAUCAAUAGAAUGAAUAGACAGAAAGAAGUCUAUGUGUGUGUGAUGUUAAGUUGCUUCAGUCGUGUCCGACUCUGCAACGCUAUGGACUGUGGCCUGCAAGGCUCCUCUGUCCAUGGGAUUCUCCAGGCAAGAAUACUGGAGUGGGUUGCCAUUUCCUACUUGAGGGGAUCUUCCUGAUCCAGGGAUCAAAGCUGCAUCUCCUGCAACCCCUGCAUUGCAGACAGAUUCUUUACCACUGAGCCACUGGGAAAGCCCAUAGAAGGAUACUAUAGAUCUAAAAAGCACUAUGAACCAAUUCAACAAUUAAGAUUUAUACAGUUUUCACACAACAGCAGGGAAUAAAUUCUAUUUAAGUUCCCAUGGAGUAUACACUAGGAGACACUGGAACGUGUUGUUGUUCAGUCGCUCAGUCGUGUAUGACCCUUUGCAACCCUAUGAACCGCAGCACACCAGGCCUCCCUGUCCAUCACCAUCUCCCGGAGUUUACUCAAACUCAUAUCCAUUGAGUCCAUGAUGGCAUCCAACCAUUUAUCCUCUGUCGUCCCCUUCUCCUCCUGCCUUCAAUCUUUCCCAACAUCAGGGUCUUUUUCGAUGAGUCAGCUCUUUGUAUCAGGUGGCCAAAGUACUGGAGUUUAAGCUUUAGUCCUUCCAAUGAAUAUUUAGGGUUGAUUUCCUUUAGGACUGAACAUACCCAGGAAUGUAAACCAGGUGAAAAAAAAUGUCACGGUCUAAAGGUUUUGAAAGCAUACAAAGUCUGUUCUCUUGUCACUGUGGAAUUAUGUUAGAAAU
Molecule: long non-coding RNA, 3571 nt
Filed under: Bos grunniens (domestic yak)
Lineage: Eukaryota; Metazoa; Chordata; Mammalia; Artiodactyla; Bovidae
Description: lncRNA (ENSBGRG00000021095.1)
Source: RNAcentral